Molecule: ribosomal RNA, 420 nt
Filed under: uncultured bacterium
Lineage: Bacteria
Description: bacterial SSU rRNA
Rfam family: Bacterial small subunit ribosomal RNA
Source: RNAcentral
GUUUGAUCCUGGCUCAGAGCGAACGCUGGCGGCGUGCUUAACACAUGCAAGUCGAGUGCGCGCCUGUAGCAAUACAGGUGGCGCACGGCGCACGGGUGCGUAACACGUGGGUAAUCUGCCCUUCGAUGGGGAAUAACUCGCCGAAAGGCGAGCUAAUUCCGCAUAACAUUCCGAGGACUUUGGUUUUCGGAUUCAAAGGCGUAAGUCGUCGGAGGAGGAGCCCGCGCACGAUUAGCUAGUUGGUGAGGUAAUGGCUCACCAAGGCUAUGAUCGUUAGCUGGUCUGAGAGGAUGGCCAGCCACACUGGAACUGAGACACGGUCCAGACUCCUACGGGAGGCAGCAGUGGGGAAUCUUGCACAAUGGGCGAAAGCCUGAUGCAGCGACGCCGCGUGGGGGAUGAAGCUUUUCGGAGUGUAAA